AGAGUUUGAUCCUGGCUCAGGACGAACGCUGGCGGCGUGCCUAAUACAUGCAAGUCGAGCGGACCGGAUUGGGGCUUGCCUUGAUUCGGUCAGCGGCGGACGGGUGAGUAACACGUGGGCAACCUGCCCGCAAGACCGGGAUAACUCCGGGAAACCGGAGCUAAUACCGGAUAACACCGAAGACCGCAUGGUCUUCGGUUGAAAGGCGGCCUUUGGGCUGUCACUUGCGGAUGGGCCCGCGGCGCAUUAGCUAGUUGGUGAGGUAACGGCUCACCAAGGCGACGAUGCGUAGCCGGCCUGAGAGGGUGACCGGCCACACUGGGACUGAGACACGGCCCAGACUCCUACGGGAGGCAGCAGUAGGGAAUCUUCCGCAAUGGGCGAAAGCCUGACGGAGCGACGCCGCGUGAGCGAAGAAGGCCUUCGGGUCGUAAAGCUCUGUUGUGAGGGACGAAGGAGCGCCGUUCGAAGAGGGCGGCGCGGUGACGGUACCUCACGAGAAAGCCCCGGCUAACUACGUG
Molecule: ribosomal RNA, 521 nt
Filed under: uncultured Geobacillus sp.
Lineage: Bacteria; Bacillati; Bacillota; Bacilli; Caryophanales; Anoxybacillaceae
Description: bacterial SSU rRNA
Rfam family: Bacterial small subunit ribosomal RNA
Source: RNAcentral